GAAAGCAGGUACUAGUUGCAGCAGACUUGGCACUGGAGGAAGCAGGUUAGACUUUAGUGGGAGCAGCCUGGGUGGGGCACGCAGCAGGUUAGACUGUAGUGGGAGCAGCCUGGGUGGGGCACGCAGCAGGUUGGACUGUAGUGGGAGCAGCCUGGGUGGGGCACGCAGCAGGUUAGACUGUAGUGGGAGGAGCCUGGUGGGGCUGGCAUCAGAGAAGUCAGUAGUGGUGGUGGUGAAGUCAUCCAGAACACUACCAACUGUGGGGUCCAUUGCAUAGUCCUCAAAAUCAGUCUCCUCCGACUCAGGGCCCAUAGCCUGCAUGGCCUUCCCAGUCUGCCUGAGCAGGUAGUCCACACACCAAUCAACUCUC
This 370-nucleotide long non-coding RNA is filed under the name Salmo salar (Atlantic salmon). RNAcentral's name for it is "lncRNA (ENSSSAG00000100006.1)". Lineage: Eukaryota; Metazoa; Chordata; Actinopteri; Salmoniformes; Salmonidae. The record is from RNAcentral.